This 395-nucleotide long non-coding RNA is filed under the name Medicago truncatula (barrel medic). RNAcentral's name for it is "long non-coding RNA (MTRU_LNC005454)". Lineage: Eukaryota; Viridiplantae; Streptophyta; Magnoliopsida; Fabales; Fabaceae. The record is from RNAcentral.
UCGAUUUAUAUAUAUUGGUUUGAUACUUUCGGUCUCAAUAAUAAUUAUAGAGAGUAGCAAGAGAAUGUGGGGUCGAAUCCCAUCAAAAACGUUUUUCCCAUUGUAGGGAUGCGUGUUCGAUUCCCCCUCAAGAAUGUUUUAUUCCAAGUUGUUUGGGCUCCAGUGGCAAGGAGCUCCUUCCAGGGAUGUACCCGGGGAAUACCGGGUUCGAUUCUCAAGGGGAACAACGCUUGACCAGUGCGCAUGCCUCUACGCACGAGCCGGAUUAGUCGCCCACCAUUGGUGUGUCGAAAACCGGUGCGAAAGCAAAAAAAAAGAUUAUAGAGAAAACUUUUCAACAAUAAAAAUUAUCAAGACAAUAGUCAUAAACAAAUUAAAUGGAUAAUGAGUUUAUU